Molecule: ribosomal RNA, 433 nt
Filed under: uncultured bacterium
Lineage: Bacteria
Description: partial 16S ribosomal RNA
Rfam family: Bacterial small subunit ribosomal RNA
Source: RNAcentral
AACGAACGCUGGCGGCAUGCCUAGCACAUGCCAGUCGAACGAGACCUUCGGGUCUAGUGGCGCACGGGUGCGUAACGAGUGGGAACCUGCCCUUAGGUUCGGAAUAACUCCCUGAAAGGGGUGCUAAUACCGGUUAAUGUAUUCGGACCAAAGAUUUAUCGCCUUGGGAUGGGCCCGCGUUGGUUUAGUUGGUUGGUAGGGUAAAAGCCUACCAAGGGGACGUUCCAUGGCUGGUGUGAUAGGAGGAUCCACAACGCUUGACCUGAGGCACGGCCCAGACUGCGAGGCAACGCAGCAGUGUGGAAUAUUGUGCGCGGGAGGAAAGUGUGAUCCAGCAGUGCCGCGGAAGUGAGGAAGGCCUUAGUGUUGUGAAUCUCCUUUACACGAGAUGAUAAUGACAGUACCGGGAGAAGAAGCACCGGCUAACUCCGUG